GACGAACGCUGGCGGCGUGCUUAACACAUGCAAGUCGAACGGUGAAGCGCAUUCCUUUUUGGUGGGUGUGGAUGAGUGGCGAACGGGUGAGUAACACGUGAGUAACCUGCCCCCUUCUUCUGGAUAACCGCAUGAAAGUGUGGCUAAUACGGGAUAUUCUGGGUCUGUCGCAUGAUGGGUCUGGGAAAGAUAUUGUUUCGGUGGGGGAUGGGCUCGCGGCCUCUCAGCUUGUUGGUGGGGUGAUGGCCUACCAAGGCGGUGACGGGUAGCCGGCCUGAGAGGGUGGACGGGCACACUGGGACUGAUACGCGGCCCAGACUCCUACGGGAGGCAGCAGUGGGGAAUAUUGCAAGAUGGGCGCAAUCCUGAUGCAGCGACGCCGCGUGAGGGAUGGAGGCCUGCGGGUUGUGAACCUCUUUCGCCAGUGAAGCAGUCCUGCCUCGUUUGUGGGUGUGUUGACGGUAGCUGGAUAAGAAGCGCCGGCUAACUACGUG
RNAcentral lists this ribosomal RNA (494 nucleotides) under uncultured bacterium. RNAcentral's name for it is "partial 16S ribosomal RNA". It matches the Rfam family "Bacterial small subunit ribosomal RNA", at positions 28 to 507 of the family's 1533-position model. The record is from RNAcentral.